GAGCUCACUUCGGUAGCACAUAUACUAAAAUUGGAACAAUACAGAGAUUAGCACAGUCCCUGUGCAAGGAUGGUAUGUAAAGUGCAUAUGUUAGUGAGGAAGCUU
This is a small nuclear RNA of Nannospalax galili (Upper Galilee mountains blind mole rat), 105 nucleotides long. The record is from Ensembl. NCBI's taxonomy places the organism in Eukaryota, Metazoa, Chordata, Mammalia, Rodentia, Spalacidae.